UCCCUGGAGGACUAGUGGUUAGGCCACUGCACUCUCACCGCUGCUGCCUGGGUUCAAUUCCUGGCCAGGGAA
RNAcentral lists this transfer RNA (72 nucleotides) under Pangasianodon hypophthalmus (striped catfish). It matches the Rfam family "tRNA". Rfam says of the family: Transfer RNA (tRNA) molecules are approximately 80 nucleotides in length. Their secondary structure includes four short double-helical elements and three loops (D, anti-codon, and T loops). The record is from Rfam by way of RNAcentral. Lineage: Eukaryota; Metazoa; Chordata; Actinopteri; Siluriformes; Pangasiidae.